Molecule: ribosomal RNA, 255 nt
Filed under: Klebsiella pneumoniae
Lineage: Bacteria; Pseudomonadati; Pseudomonadota; Gammaproteobacteria; Enterobacterales; Enterobacteriaceae
Description: partial 23S ribosomal RNA
Rfam family: Bacterial large subunit ribosomal RNA
Source: RNAcentral
GAGAUUCCCCCAGUAGCGGCGAGCGAACGGGGAGCAGCCCAGAGUCUGAAUCAGCUUGUGUGUUAGUGGAACGGCCUGGAAAGUCCGACGGUACAGGGUGAUAGUCCCGUACACCAAAAUGCACAGGCUGUGAACUCGAAGAGUAGGGCGGGACACGUGGUAUCCUGUCUGAAUAUGGGGGGACCAUCCUCCAAGGCUAAAUACUCCUGACUGACCGAUAGUGAACCAGUACCGUGAGGGAAAGGCGAAAAGAAC